This 218-nucleotide ribosomal RNA is filed under the name Weissella paramesenteroides. Its description in RNAcentral is "partial 16S ribosomal RNA". It matches the Rfam family "Bacterial small subunit ribosomal RNA", at positions 1 to 187 of the family's 1533-position model. Lineage: Bacteria; Bacillati; Bacillota; Bacilli; Lactobacillales; Lactobacillaceae. The record is from RNAcentral.
UUAAAAUGAGAGUUUGAUCCUGGCUCAGGAUGAACGCUGGCGGCGUGCCUAAUACAUGCAAGUCGAACGCUUUGUCUUUAAUUGAUCUGACGAGCUUGCUCUAAUUUGAUUUUAUCUGACAAAGAGUGGCGAACGGGUGAGUAACACGUGGGUAACCUACCUCUUAGCAGGGGAUAACAUUUGGAAACAAGUGCUAAUACCGUAUAAUACCAACAACC